Molecule: long non-coding RNA, 3467 nt
Organism: Corvus hawaiiensis (hawaiian crow)
Lineage: Eukaryota; Metazoa; Chordata; Aves; Passeriformes; Corvidae
Exons: 2
Source: RefSeq, a predicted model, not a curated record
CAAACCCUUUCAGCUGUCAUGAGUGCCUGAGCUCCCUUUAAAGCACUGCGGUGAAAAAGCCCCCAUAUGCUUUUGCAGUUGAAGAGCAGAAAAACAUUUUUGCAUUAAGGCAAUAGUUGUAGAGUUACUUCAGGAGGAUGAAGAUAAGAGAUGAGAUUCAGCCCUCUUCUAGUUAUAAUCUACCUUCUCAUAAAGCUGCUGACUUACCCUGAGCCAAGAAGAUGUCCAGAUGCCAUGUGAUCAAUAUGAAGCAAAACCAAAGGAUAGUGAACUGAUUCCAACUAUGCAAAAGAUUUCAGGCCCAAGAAGGCAGGGGAGACACACGACUGCAGGUGAUAUUCUGUGUUGCUGUAGUUUAAUGGCUCUUACCUCUCCUUGUCUGGUCUAUUGUGAAAAAUACCUCCUGUCAUCCUGGAGUAGCUUGCCUUCAUGCAGACACUGUGUGGGUUUGUACAGACGGGCUUUAAGAACAGCUCUUGGAGCAUCUCUCUGGUGAGAGGAAGUGGCAUGGGAUGGGUCACGGGGGACAGCAGUAUUUGGGGAAGGUCUUGGGGAAAGACAGACACCUUGUUCUGAAAAACCUCAUCUCCACCUGCUCUGGCAUCCACCUUUGGGGCAAACCCACCUGCCCAUGGCCCAAGUUCAACAACGUGACUUGAAAGACUUUGGUGUCUCUCCUGCUGUGGCCUCCAUGCUCCGGCAGGGUCCUGCCAGCCACCCCUCCCCUGAGCAGAGCUGCUCCCAGACAGUCCCUGAAGAAGAGCCAGAAUCCAACACCCAGCAAACCCCCGUCCUCAGCACCGUUCAGCACCCCAGAGCCACGGCCCAGCACUGCAGCAGGGCCCCAGAGCACACCCGGAGCAGCCCCCAGGGCCGGCACAGCUGCUCGCUCCUGGGCCAGGCAGCUCGCUCUGGAGGAGCCUGCCUGGAGGCCAUGUGAAUUCCCGCCACGCAAAAACAGGUGUUGCUCAAACACUUGGGCUUCAGCUUCAUUUGUGCCAUCUGAGGCACCAAACAGCCAUGACAGGCUCAGGUAAUGUUUUCUGCACACAGAUGGGGAAACCUUACUCCAUGGUCCUACUCCUGUCACUGUCCCACACUGACCACAUUAUUCUGAGGGCACCAGAUAACCUUCCCCAGCUGCAAACACACAUUUGUGGAUUCCCAUGCUAAAUUUCUGGAGUAUGGAAGACAGGAGGUCAUCUCAAUACCUCGAUGAGAGCACCCAUGUGGUCUGCACUGCCUUGGAGCGGGGUGAGAGGGGAGGAUGGGGGCAGCAGUCCUGCCCUCCUACUGUGCUGGUUGGCAGAGGAAAUGGAGAGGUCAGUGCCUGAAUUUUGCUCACCAUAACCUUCAUCGGGAAGCUUCUAGCCCUCUUCAGUUCCUAACCACAUUCUUCACUUUAUUACAGCUGCAUUUGUUGGAGGGCCCUCACGUUGCACCAGUAAGAGAAAUAAAGGGGCAACCAAUGUCACCACUGCCACAUUAAUUUUUACAGGCCACAGCAGUAGUGACAGAGCAAUGCAGAGUUUUUUAUGUCUGCAGCCAGCAGAAUCUAAAAGGACACCUCUGUUUCCCUUCCUGACUACAAUCAUUGUGAGCCCUGAGGCAGCAGGAGCCACCAUGGAAGGGAUGCCUGUGGCGAGCAGCGGGUUAUGCUAACAGUUUUAUAACCUGCUGAGGAGGACGGCAGGGAGGGGAACACAAACUUCCACUCCAAAUCAGACACCCCCUUAAUUUUAUGCUUUCUCUGGACAUACAGUAGCACAGCUACUCAGAAAAUCCAGACCUGGCCUCCUGCCCAUUGUUCAAGCCGUUUAAUUUGUUUUCAUGAUGGGAAAGUGAACAACAUGUCCAUGAGGUAACACCAAUGUCUUGUCAUCUACUGACUGCACCUCCUCCACUUCAAGUUCUUACUCCUGUUCUUGCGUAUGUACCACAUACAUUUUGUCACUGUAAAAUGGUCUGUGAAGUCUGAUUAGAACAAUUCUCAUUUGUAAGGGGAAAAGCAGAGAACUCCAAAGAAAACCUCCUGUGCUGACUCCUCUUCCGAGAAGAAAGCAGAGACUGGGAAAAGCAACAGCAAGAGAAACAGAAAAAAGAAAUUGACAACCAUACAGAAGCAGGAAUGGCAAUGGGUAGCUUUGGGAAAUUUUAGCUUUUCCUUUGUCCUUUUAUUUUUGUGGGAGACCUCUAUCCCUAAAAUCCAUGAAAUAUUAACCAUGACAUCUGCUGAAAAAUCAAGAAUGAAAAAUGUAAUGCUGCAAACAACGCAAUGACCAGAGAACACACCUAAACAAUUCUCUCGGAAAACACCAGAGUGCACUACUGUGUAGCUGUAGUCAAUUCAGACUAUGUUGCUUUAAACUUUGUCCAGUUGAUCUUGAAAAGCUCCACAGAUGGAGAUUCCAGAGCUGCUCCGAGGAACCCACUCCUGUGUUUAUCCUCCUUAAUGUUCUCCCUUUCACUUAGUCAGAACCUCACCUCUAUCAGUUUUUGGCCAGGAUCUCUUCUCCUAUCACAUACAUCAGUGAAGAGCCUGGCUCUGUAUUCUCUAUGGCUUUCUCAUAUGGAUUGAGGGUCAACUAUUAGGUUCCCUCCCCAAGUCUUCUCCAGGCUGAACAAAACCCAUUCCCUUGGCCUUUUCUCACAGGAGGGUGCUUCAGUCCUGACCAUCUCGAUAGCUCUCCAUUAGACUCACUCUAAUCUUUUUUGGAUCUUAACUAUGUGUGUCAAAUUCACAGGUUCUCCAAAUGCUUCAUUUUGCUUUUCUUGGAGGCUUCCCUUAUCAAAAUAGCAAAUACUUGUGAUGCUUCUAUGGCAACCUAAACAUGAGGAUUCUGAGGCAGGCGGACACCUCACACUGCACUGAAUUAUCAGCAGAAGUAGCAGGCCUGGGUAUCAAUGGUCUCACCUGCAGGAAUCCAGACAAACUUUUUUGUCUGCUGUUCCUCUGUCAGGAAAAUAAAGACAAAUUCCACCUCCACUUGGAUGGACUUCCUGAGAUACUUACAUAUACAGGACUAACUAGUUUACCUCAAAGGAACUAACAGCAGGUCUCAUUCAUUCAUGAGGUACCUCAAGAUUUCACUAAACCCACCACAAACACUUCUCAAUUCAUCCUUUCAUUAAUGAAUAGCACUUUCAUACUCAGAAGGAAACGGAACUGUCACUACUGUAAAUUUCUGGUGCUAAACACAAUUAAAUGGUAAUGUAGCCAAAACAGUCAUGGUGCUCUUACACUGAAGUGGGGUAUUUCAGUUAACAUCCAAUUUUUAAAUAUUUUGAAAGUGACCAUUAUAUUUAACUGACUUGCUCAGGGUGCAUAGCAUUGCCUAAUGAAAUGCAAUCCAUGGCAUGCAUCACCUUGGUCCCAAAAUCUUCACCUCUUUCUAAAAUGUGGUGCUUAACUAUGAUCCGGAGUAUGUUACAAAAAGCAUUUCAUUAAAGGGGGGCCAUUGGUGCAA